Long non-coding RNA from Callithrix jacchus (white-tufted-ear marmoset), 313 nucleotides. The record is from Ensembl. Lineage: Eukaryota; Metazoa; Chordata; Mammalia; Primates; Cebidae.
GCCUGCUUCCUCCAUCCCCAAAACAGUCUACUUGGUUUUUAAAAGUCAUUGUGAAUGUACAGCAUCCUUACCACACGGCUGCAUGCACAAGACCAAGCUGUCUCUGAAAGAAUUCCACACCUGACAAGAUGCUGGCCACACCUUUCUUGGCUCAGAGACAAAGCAAGGAAAUUGUGAAUGGUGCCUCACAACUACCACCAGGACUACAGAACGAAACAAGUGGCCAAACUGAUCUUGGAGGUGGGAGAGCAAGCCGAUUGUAAUGGAGUAUGUAUAAUAACUAGAAAUAUAUAAAUCUUGUUCUUAUUGGAAC